CCGAAGCAGCCGGCUUGGCCAGCGGCGAACGGCGUCCAGGCGCUGCCAGACCCUUAACGGGCGGCUCCUAAUGCUUCCCAAAUCUGCUGACUGUCAGUAUGUUCUCACCGGAGCAGCAUGGGUAACCGGUGCUUUCAGCAAGGUCACCAGUGUUGCAGGAUGAAGAGGAUUUUGCAGAAGCACUAACAUCGAUCAACACAUGAUGGGGAAACAUCCCACUCGGUUCGUACAAGCUAUUCUGGGUAACUUGAUCUACACCUUAUUCUAAUGAUGAUGUUUCAUGGUUUAUAUGUAAUUUGCAGCAUUGUAGGCCUAAUAUGUGUUUCAUUUUUUGGUCAGGAACAAUUCAUUUACUCAUUUUGCUAUUAUGUCUGUCAUAUUAUGCAUUUGCUUGCUUUUGUUUGUCACUAUUUACCAAUGCUGAAUAAUUACAGUUGUUUUUCUGGUGUCCAACUUUAGUAUAGUUUUCUGUUAACUUGGUAUAAGCAAAUAUGUUUUGUUGGUUGACAAGCACUAUAAUGUCAAAUGUUAGGAACAAGAAUCUCAUGGAUAAAUGUUUGCAUUCCUGGCACUAAUGUGUCUGUUCACAUAUUCUCCCCACCAUUUUAGAUUCAUUACACAAGUCUUAGACGUGCACUUGAUGUCACUUCUGUUAUGUAGGGGGAGGUUGUGGAACAAAUUCUGUUGGUGGUACUAGCUACUUGACUUUGUUUUAUUUCUAAAACAGUGACACCUUUCUCCUUUGAUGUUUUGGUUAUUUUGUACUUGACACAUUUUUUGGAUUCUUAUGUGCUUUAUUGCAGUUACUCUUCCCACACGUAGUCAUGGAAGGCUACAAGAUUUUAAUGUGCAUUUUGUAUAUAUUCAACCAAACAUUGUACUCACAUUAUGUGUGUACAUAUUCCGUUUUCCCUGCAUGGUACCAUGCCCUUAUCAAAUUGGUUUUCUGAAUAAUGUAGUAAUCUACAUUGAGGAAACACAUGCAUAUUUUUUUGCUCUAUUUUAUCAUAUC
Molecule: long non-coding RNA, 1012 nt
Filed under: Zea mays
Lineage: Eukaryota; Viridiplantae; Streptophyta; Magnoliopsida; Poales; Poaceae
Description: long non-coding RNA (ZMAY_LNC000688)
Source: RNAcentral